GCUAAACGCGAAGAACCUUACCCAGACUUGACAUGCAGAGGACGACGGUAGAGAUAUCGUUUCCCUUCGGGGUCGUCUGCACAGGUGCCGCAUGGCUGUCGUCAGCUCGUGCCGUGAGGUGUUGGGUUAAGUCCCGCAACGAGCGCAACCCUUGUCACUAGUUGCCAGCACGUAAUGGUGGGAACUCUAGUGAGACUGCCUAGGUUAACUAGGAGGAAGGUGAGGAUGACGUCAAGUCAGCAUGGCCCUUAUGUCUGGGGCUACACACGUACUACAAUGGCCGGUACAGAAGGCAGCGAACCCGUAAGGCGGAGCAAAUCCCCAAAGCCGGCCCAGUUCAGAUUGUAGUCUGCAACUCGACUACAUGAAGUUGGAAUUGCUAGUAAUGGCGUGUCAGCAAC
This 401-nucleotide ribosomal RNA is filed under the name uncultured bacterium. RNAcentral describes it as "bacterial SSU rRNA". It matches the Rfam family "Bacterial small subunit ribosomal RNA", at positions 954 to 1356 of the family's 1533-position model. The record is from RNAcentral.